AUUGAACGCUGGCGGCAUGCCUUACACAUGCAAGUCGAACGGCAGCACGGGUGCUUGCACCUGUUGGCGAGUGGCGAACGGGUGAGUAAUACAUCGGAACAUGUCCUGUAGUGGUGGAUAGCCCGGCGAAAGCCGGAUUAAUACCGCAUACGAUCUACGGAUGAAAGCGGGGGACCUUCGGGCCUCGCGCUAUAGGGUUGGCCGAUGGCUGAUUAGCUAGUUUGUGGGGUAAAGGCCUACCAAGGCGACGAUCAGUAGCUGGUCUGAGAGGACGACCAGCCACACUGGGACUGAGACACGGCCCAGACUCCUACGGGAGGCAGCAGUGGGGAAUUUUGGACAAUGGGCGAAAGCCUGAUCCAGCAAUGCCGCGUGUGUGAAGAAGGCCUUCGGGUUGUAAAGCACUUUUGUCCGGAAAGAAAUCCUUGGCCCUAAUACGGUCGGGGGAUGACGGUACCGGAAGAAUAAGCACCGGCUAACUGCGUG
This 486-nucleotide ribosomal RNA is filed under the name uncultured bacterium. Its description in RNAcentral is "partial 16S ribosomal RNA". It matches the Rfam family "Bacterial small subunit ribosomal RNA", at positions 30 to 507 of the family's 1533-position model. The record is from RNAcentral.